RNAcentral lists this ribosomal RNA (480 nucleotides) under uncultured bacterium. RNAcentral's name for it is "partial 16S ribosomal RNA". It matches the Rfam family "Bacterial small subunit ribosomal RNA", at positions 28 to 523 of the family's 1533-position model. The record is from RNAcentral.
GAUGAACGCUGGCGGCGUGCUUAACACAUGCAAGUCGAGCGAUGAAGUUUUCUUCGGGAAACGGAUUAGCGGCGGACGGGUGAGUAACACGUGGGUAACCUGCCUCAUAGAGUGGAAUAGCCUUUCGAAAGGAAGAUUAAUACCGCAUAAUGUUGAAAGAUGGCAUCAUCACUCAACCAAAGGAGCAAUCUGCUAUGAGAUGGACCCGCGGCGCAUUAGCUAGUUGGUGGGGUAACGGCCUACCAAGGCGACGAUGCGUAGCCGACCUGAGAGGGUGAUCGGCCACAUAGGGACUGAGACACGGCCCAGACUCCUACGGGAGGCAGCAGUGGGGAAUAUUGCACAAUGGGGGAAACCCUGAUGCAGCAACGCCGCGUGAGUGAUGAAGGUUUUCGGAUCGUAAAGCUCUGUCUUUGGGGAAGAUAAUGACGGUACCCAAGGAGGAAGCCACGGCUAACUACGUGCCAGCAGCCGCCGUAA